UACGUAGGGUGCGAGCGUUGUCCGGAAUUAUUGGGCGUAAAGGGCGCGUAGGCGGUGCGGUAAGUCUGUAGUGAAAUCUCUGGGCUCAACUCAGAGUCUGCUGCAGAAACUGCCGUGCUUGAGUGUGGGAGAGGUGAGUGGAAUUCCCGGUGUAGCGGUGAAAUGCGCAGAUAUCAGGAGGAACACCGAUGGCGAAGGCAGGUCUCUGGGCAUUAACUGACGUGAGGAGCGAAAGCAUGGGGGAGCGAACAGG
RNAcentral lists this ribosomal RNA (253 nucleotides) under uncultured bacterium. Its description in RNAcentral is "partial 16S ribosomal RNA". It matches the Rfam family "Bacterial small subunit ribosomal RNA", at positions 524 to 776 of the family's 1533-position model. The record is from RNAcentral.